This 758-nucleotide long non-coding RNA is filed under the name Mytilus galloprovincialis (Mediterranean mussel). Lineage: Eukaryota; Metazoa; Mollusca; Bivalvia; Mytilida; Mytilidae. The record is from RNAcentral.
GCUGCCUCUAACAUACAAUUACAAAUAACAAAACAAUUUGAAAAGAAAACAAAAGCCUAAAUACAAUUAAACAUGUAACAGAUGAUUGACAUAAGCUAAUUAAGUUUGUUUGAAGUAAUGCAUGCAGAUCAAAAUAUAAGGUACAGCAAUAAAACAAUUAUUAUGAAAUAUUGUAAUAAAUCCUGGUUAAGAUGAAAAUGGUUUGCAUGGUCAUGAUGGUAGUAUUCAACAAAUUGUAAAAUUGGAUUUCUUGAAAUGAGGUUGAACAGACAUGAUGUGUAUGCUAUGGUGGGGGUAUAAAAACACCAGAUAAAAGACAUACAGCUUGAAUUGUCUUUAUCAUUAGAAACAUGAAAACUUUCACCUAUGCAAGCAGUCAAAAGAAUAUGUAAAUUUAAAUGUUAAACUUAUUAAGUAACAUGUUGUAAAUUGCCCCUAGGAUAAUUAAGAGUAUUUAUGCCAAAAAAAUGUAUGUUUUGAGUCAUCAAUAUUCAAAAGCUCAAAAUAUCACAACAAACCUGCCAGUUUGGAAUUGAACUAAUAUACAUUUUUAUGUGAAUUUCUUACAACUGACAUUAAUGUAUAGUUAUUAAAAUAAAAUUCAUGAACAUGUUAUAAUAUUACUAGAAUAAAAUGAUAUUACAAUUCUUAAAUAUUUCUAAUGAUAGCCAGUAACAUUUUCCUAUUAAUACACAACAUCAUGCUAGUUUCGAAAUUCAUUUGACAUGUUACAUAAACAUUGAAUCUUGAUUUUCAAA